UAUGAGGAUGAUGAAGAAUGUACUUAUCAAUGCCCCUCAUAUAAAACAUUUCUUGUCGAAACAGUUCACCUCCGACAAACCAUAUACUACUCAAGAAAUUGACGAAGUUAGAGAAGAAUGGGCAAUGUCAUUUUUACAAUUGGUUAGAGCAAAAUGAAUGAUGUUAUAGCUAGCUAAUUACAAUACAUGUUUAGAAAUUUUAAAUUUAUUUCGUAAAAUUUUUUUGCCAUUUUUUUAGUAUUUUCUUUUCAAAUUUCUUUUGAUACAUAUUCGACACUCAAAUGGAUAUAUAUUUUUAAAUCAAAAUUAAAAUUGUAGCU
This is a long non-coding RNA of Humulus lupulus (European hop), 320 nucleotides long. RefSeq lists it as uncharacterized. The record is from RefSeq and is a predicted model, not a curated record. The transcript has 2 exons. Lineage: Eukaryota; Viridiplantae; Streptophyta; Magnoliopsida; Rosales; Cannabaceae.